RNAcentral lists this ribosomal RNA (468 nucleotides) under uncultured bacterium. RNAcentral's name for it is "partial 16S ribosomal RNA". It matches the Rfam family "Bacterial small subunit ribosomal RNA", at positions 28 to 507 of the family's 1533-position model. The record is from RNAcentral.
GACGAACGCUGGCGGCGUGCUUAACACAUGCCAGUCGAACGGCAAGGCCCUGCUGUUGUGUGGUGCUCUGGUGGCGAACGGAUGGGUAACAAGUGAGUAGCCUGCCCUUGACUUUUGGAUAACUUCAGGAAACUAGGUCUGAUACUGGAUCGGAGCUCCUGCUGCAUGGUGGGGGGUGGAAAGUUGCGGCGGUAGGGGAUGGACGCGCGGCUUAUCAUCUUGAUGGUGGGGUAGUGGCUUACCAAGGCUUUGACGGGUAGCCGGCCUGAGAGGGGGGCCGGCCCCAAUGGGACUGAGAGACGGCCCAGACUCGUACGGGAGGCAGCAGUGGGGAAUAUUGCACAAUGGGCGGAAGCCUGAUGCAGCAACGCCGCGUGCGGGAUGACGGCCUGCGGGUAGUAAACCGCUUUCGCCUGUGACGAAGCGUGAGUGACGGUAAUGGGUAAAGAAGCACCGGCUAACUACGUG